Molecule: long non-coding RNA, 899 nt
Organism: Cucumis sativus (cucumber)
Lineage: Eukaryota; Viridiplantae; Streptophyta; Magnoliopsida; Cucurbitales; Cucurbitaceae
Exons: 2
Source: RefSeq, a predicted model, not a curated record
UAAUAGUAAAUAUCAUUAUUGAAUAGGUAUUCUCUCGUUUUACGUGCAUCAUCUUCUCCACCACAUUCUUCUUCCCUCGGAAACCCUAGCAACCGCCAAGGUUUCGGGCGGUGCCUCCGUCCGACAGUCCUCCAACUGAAGCCUUGUCGCCGUUUGUCUUCCGUCGUCGGUCGUCCUCGCAAACAUCUGGUCUCCUUCACCAUCGUCGUGAAGCAGCCAAAGCAAGUCUUCUUCGUUCGUCCGAAGCCGAAGCGUCACGAAUCGCGCAUCCCAAUCGUCUGCGACCGCCAACUCGUUCGCACAUGUAGGCUUUAGUCUUCUGCACCGUGUUUCUUCACCCGAGCCGUCCGUGCCAUCUCUCUACACAUGAGUUCCUCGCAUCGACUACCUUCUUAGCCGAGUCGUGAGCCCCUUCCUUGGUUCCUUAACCAUCUUUGCUUUGGAGCCAUAUUUGGAGAGGCUUUUUGGUCUAGCUAAUUUUAUUGGAGGACUUCAUCCAUCAAUUUUCUUAUUCAAGGUGUUUGGUUACAACCUUGGCCUUUGGGUACGUUGAAGACUUAAGUUUUGGUCUUUGGGUACGUUGAAGACUUAAGUUAAAUUUAGAUGAUGGUUGACAAGUUUAUUAAUCUAAGUUUCGUUAUGAUUAGGAUUCGUCUAUUUGGAGAACUUUUGGAUGUUGUUGAUAAGAUUAAUUUUUUUUUUUUGCAAAUCUUAAGGUAAGAGAUUCGACUAUUAGAUCCUCCCAUCAUGUUUUCCCUUGGUAUGCAUUAGCGUAGCUAUAAUGUAUGUGAUGUAACUAAUGUGAUUGCUAAGGAUGUAAGAUAACGAUAGCUACAUAGAAAAUCGUUGUGAUAUGAAUGAGAUGUACCCUGAUUGGGACAUGCUAUGAGUUAUGUUUA